This 253-nucleotide ribosomal RNA is filed under the name uncultured bacterium. Its description in RNAcentral is "partial 16S ribosomal RNA". It matches the Rfam family "Bacterial small subunit ribosomal RNA", at positions 524 to 776 of the family's 1533-position model. The record is from RNAcentral.
GACGUAGGGUGCAAGCGUUGUCCGGAAUUACUGGGCGUAAAGCGUGCGCAGGCGGCCUCUUAAGUCAGAUGUGAAAUCCCCGGGCUUAACCUGGGAACUGCGUUUGAAACUGGGAGGCUAGAGUGUGGAAGAGGGGGGUGGAAUUCCAGGUGUAGCAGUGAAAUGCGUAGAGAUCUGGAGGAACACCGAUGGCGAAGGCAGCCCCCUGGGCUGACACUGACGCUCAUGCACGAAAGCGUGGGGAGCAAACAGG